AACAAUUGCAGCACUGUGUGUUCAUUAAAAAUGACAAUUGUUGUUAAAGCUCUUCAGCCACUUCUCAAUUCAAAACCGAAUGGCCACAAACAUUUGUUUCAUCUUACUAUAUAGCCUAUUGUUACUGCAACUAUUGAUAGUUAUGGUUAUGUUGGAGCUUCUCACAACUUUUAUAAAUUAACAAUGAAUUGUUAAUUUGAAUCUAAUCCGACCGUUAUUGGAAUAAAAUUAUUUGUCAUUUGAUUUGAUGUAAUUUUGUAAUGUUUGUUUUGAACCGGUAUUCUACGAGUUACUUGAGAACCUAUCACUUAUCUUUACAUAUUUGUUUUCUCAAGUGUAUUUGAAUCAUUCGUGGGUGCACCUUUACAGCGACCUCUUCAUGAACCUGUUCACUAUAUGAUCUCGAGGCUCCAGCGUAAAUUAAAUUGCCUGGCUUAGCGGGGAUCAACUUGGGAAAGUUUCUUAUCAAACGUGUUGUAAAACUGGUGAAAAGAGAGAUGCCACAUAUUUCUAUCUUUGCAACCCUCAGUCCCAUCCCAGAAUUCAUGACAUGACUCUUAUCCAAGUUGGCAUCUCAAACAGUGCUUGCUGAAGGAAACAUGUCACAACCUGGGGCCGAGGGAUCCGCUUCCACAUUCUUUGAGAACAUACUUGAACCCGACGAAGAAGCAGCACUUAUGAGUUUGCCUAAGUAAGCCACAUAUUAUUCUAUCUCAUGGUUUUAUGUUAUAAUAUUUUUUUCCAACUCUGUUGCUAAGUUGUAAAGAAGUUUCAAAAUGCAAUCCUGAAAACUGUUUUAAUACAUGCAUUACAACUAAACAUUUUCCCACUAUGUGGAUAUAUCGUCAUGGCAUGGCCACUAUGAUUCCUAUCGUGUAUUAAGUUCAAAAUAGACAGUUGGUCUCUAAAUAUCUCUUAAUGGUUUGAUC
Vicia villosa (hairy vetch) is the source of this 929-nucleotide long non-coding RNA. RefSeq lists it as uncharacterized. The transcript has 3 exons. Lineage: Eukaryota; Viridiplantae; Streptophyta; Magnoliopsida; Fabales; Fabaceae. The record is from RefSeq and is a predicted model, not a curated record.